Long non-coding RNA from Felis catus (domestic cat), 1169 nucleotides. RefSeq lists it as uncharacterized. NCBI's taxonomy places the organism in Eukaryota, Metazoa, Chordata, Mammalia, Carnivora, Felidae. The transcript has 2 exons. The record is from RefSeq and is a predicted model, not a curated record.
CUAGAGCCUGUUUCAGAUUCUGUGUCUCCCUCUCUCUGACCCUCCCCUGUUCAUGCUCUGUCUCUGUCUCAAAAAUAAAUAAAUGUUAAAAAAACAAACAAACAUGGGACUCAAACUCACCACCACGAGAUCAAGUCACAUCCUCCCUCCAUGUACUGAGCCAGCCAGUUACCCCCCAAAAAAUGUUUCUAAAAAUAAAAAGACCUGCUAGUCACUGAAAUUCCAGCAGAUGGCAGACACUUCUGUUCACCACAACCAUGCUUGAAAGACCUAGGAGCAAACUUUCUAGAAUUGACCCAGAAACAAAAAGGAAGAAAUGAGAUGCACAAUCUCUACUUUGACCAGAAACAAUGUCCUUCAACACUUUUGAGACAAAGCCAAUUCUCCAGAUCUGUACAAAAAUAACAGCUACACCUAAAAAAGAAAGAGCUAAGAACCCAGAUAUCAGACCACUCAAUGGAGUAACGCACAGGAUGUCACCACACCUGGUUCCCAGAAAGAGGUGACGUGAAGUGGUGACUAUGGAGAUUUCGGCCAGUGUUGACAUGUGUCAGCCGGAUGGGUUGGCCACAUCUGAUGGGAGUUCCCCUCUCACACACUGUAGCGGUCUUCCCCCGUAUCCUCCAGUAACUAUUGCUGUCAUCCACAGAGGUUACACCUGUCACUGACUGCUGCCCACUACCUGCAGUCAAAAAAAAAAAAAAAAAAAAAAAAGGAAGGAAAAGGGUGAGCUCAACCAAUCACUCUCUUUCCUAAGGCCAAUAAUGCACCCUGUGCAUAAAAUAGGUUUGGAGGAGUAGAGAGGAAACCCUGAGCUUGAUAAUAUUUUUUUGUCUACAGCAUUAAAAAAUAUGUGAAAAAUACUAAACAUGUUUACAUAGUAUUGUCUGAUAAAUUAUAAUUAACAGUGUACUGUGUCAGAAAACUCUAAGCAUUUGCGUCAAAGGGCACUAAAUAAAUGCACUUACGUUCAUUUUUUUGAAGCAUGAGUAUUGUUUACCUAUAUAUGAUAGCCUGGAUAGCACCUAGGAUUUGUCAGGUGUCUAAUCAUACAAUUGAAACUUAUUUACUAUUAUUCAACGGUGUACUACUGUCACAUCGUGUUACAAUGUAUUACUUUUGUCACAUUUCACAAUUAAAAGGAGAUUAGUUUUUGUUGUCAACUUUAA